GUAGUCUGCAACUCGACUACAUGAAGCUGGAAUCGCUAGUAAUCGCAGAUCAGAAUGCUGCGGUGAAUACGUUCCCGGGUCUUGUACACACCGCCGUCACACCAUGGGAGUCGGAAAUGCCCGAAGCCGGUGACCCAACCAAAAGGAGGGAGCCGUCGAAGGCAGGUCUGAUAACUGGGGUGAAGUCGUAACAAGGUAAC
RNAcentral lists this ribosomal RNA (200 nucleotides) under uncultured bacterium. Its description in RNAcentral is "partial 16S ribosomal RNA". It matches the Rfam family "Bacterial small subunit ribosomal RNA", at positions 1300 to 1500 of the family's 1533-position model. The record is from RNAcentral.